CACAAUGGGCGCAAGCCUGAUGCAGCCAUGCCGCGUGUAUGAAGAAGGCCUUCGGGUUGUAAAGGUACUUUCAGCAGUGAGGAAGUGGGUAUGUUAAUAGCAUAUUCAUUUGACGUUAGCUGCAGAAGAAGCACCGGCUAACUCCGUGCCAGCAGCCGCGGUAAUACGGAGGGUGCGAGCGUUAAUCGGAAUUACUGGGCGUAAAGCGCAUGCAGGUGGUUUGUUAAGUCAGAUGUGAAAGCCCGGGGCUCAACCUCGGAAUUGCAUUUGAAACUGGCAAACUAGAGUACUGUAGAGGGGGUAGAAUUUCAGGUGUAGCGGUGAAAUGCGUAGAGAUCUGAAGGAAUACCGGUGGCGAAGGCGGCCCCCUGGACAGAUACUGACACUCAGAUGCGAAAGCGUGGGGAGCAAACAGGAUUAGAUACCCUGAUAG
This 433-nucleotide ribosomal RNA is filed under the name uncultured bacterium. RNAcentral's name for it is "bacterial SSU rRNA". It matches the Rfam family "Bacterial small subunit ribosomal RNA", at positions 367 to 793 of the family's 1533-position model. The record is from RNAcentral.